GUUUGCGCGCCCCCUUGCACUGGUCGCCCGAGGCGCUUACAUCUGUCAUGUCUCGCAAGGGACUAUGGGCAUAAACGCGCUCGGAAUAAGCGGAUCGGACCCGGGGGCGGUACCCGGCGGCUCCACCAACAUCCUUCAUUUGGGGAUCAUGGGGCCGAAACAGGAUCGACGAACGUGUAAAGGGGUUAUGCUUUGCCUCGGUGAGCCACCACCGUUAUCGGUGCAAAACGUACAGUUGCAAAUGACAACCGUGCUCCGGUAGCAGUUGCUGCGUAAGCAGUAACCA
RNAcentral lists this transfer-messenger RNA (286 nucleotides) under Roseinatronobacter ekhonensis. Its description in RNAcentral is "Roseibaca ekhonensis beta_tmRNA". It matches the Rfam family "Alphaproteobacteria transfer-messenger RNA", at positions 1 to 280 of the family's 355-position model. Rfam says of the family: Bacterial tmRNA, also known as 10Sa RNA or SsrA, is named for its dual tRNA and mRNA-like properties. Its role is to liberate the mRNA from a stalled ribosome. The record is from RNAcentral. Lineage: Bacteria; Pseudomonadati; Pseudomonadota; Alphaproteobacteria; Rhodobacterales; Paracoccaceae.